CACGUAGGCGGAUUGUUAAGUCAGGGGUGAAAUCCCGGAGCUCAACUCCGGAACUGCCCUUGAAACUGGCGAUCUUGAGUCCGGGAGAGGUGAGUGGAACUGCGAGUGUAGAGGUGAAAUUCGUAGAUAUUCGCAAGAGCACCAGUGGCGAAGGCGGCUCACUGGCCCGGUACUGACGCUGAGGUGCGAAAGCGUGGGGAGCAAACA
Molecule: ribosomal RNA, 207 nt
Filed under: uncultured bacterium
Lineage: Bacteria
Description: partial 16S ribosomal RNA
Rfam family: Bacterial small subunit ribosomal RNA
Source: RNAcentral